CCGGGCCUCAGCCGGGCUCGGAGGGCGAGGGCGGCCGUUCCGCGCACGGGCACACCCCGCAUCUCCCCCACACCUCUUCCUCCCACACACGCACACACCCCCUUCCCCCACACGCACACCUCCACCCCCCCGAACCGCCACACACGCACCUUUUCCCCCCCCAUGUACACAUGCACACCUACCCACCCACCUACCCCCUUUUCCCCAUAUACGCACCUCCACACCACUACACACACUUUCCCCCCCAUACACCACUAUACAUAUACACACCACCAUCCCCCUGCUCCACGACACACACACAUAUACACCCCUGCAUACAUACCCCUUUUCCCCACAUACAAACCUCCACCCCCCAGACCACUACACACACACUUCAGUGGACACAGAAGUAGCUCACCGUCCCCGGAGACCCCCAGUAUCCACGUCUGCGAAGACUUCUGCGCCCAGGUAUUCAUACUGAAGAUUUAACUCCAGUUCUUGCACACGCUGAUUUCUUAUGAGAUUGACCUCACUAUGACCGAGGGCCUCAUAGCCAUUGUAAGCUAAUAUCUUACGUGAUUAUUCUGCAAGCAUGGGGAUCCAGUUUCUCCUUGUUCUCCUUUUGGUCCAUCAAUUCCCUAAACGAACACAGGAAGCAUGCUUUAACAUUAAACAGUGGAAAUACUGAUUUUUGUCGUGAAGACAGCAAUUUAAGAUUUUAAACGUUUAUUAAAGAAUUACAGACCGUCUCAAAUUACUUGUAAAAUAAACCAUUUAAAUCCACCAUCUUGGAUGCAAACAAUUUCUUAUAAGCUGAAGGAGUCUCAGCAAAGGAAAAUGAAUUCAGAGGAAAACAGAUGAACAAGCUGAUGCCACAGAAUACAGACUGUUUUCUCUGCCUGCUCAGAUUGAAAGCUGCACUUAUCCAUGGCCAAUGGAAAGACCGUUCAGCUACACCACUGCCUGCCACAACAUAGUGUUUCAUUGUAUAAAGCUGUAUCCCACUUACUUUUUCUCCGUCAACUCCAGGUGGCCCAGGCAAUCCAAGCUCUCCCUGAAGUAGCACAAAGGAAUAAAGGUCAGAAUUUUUUGUAAGAGCAUUUUGUACACUAGGAAAUUCUCCAUUUGGGUAUCCAUCCACCAGACGUGAUGGAGGGCAGCUCCUCGGUAUUGUAAGGCUCGCGAGCAGCCUGAGGUAGAAAAUGACAUCUGGGUUUUUCAAGUGAAGUGCCAGGUUUCAUAACUCAAUGAAAAUUUGAAUUGUGCUGAAGGAAAGAGGACCAUGAAGAGCUGGACCAUGCCAAUACCUCUCCCUAGCAAGGUAUUUUUAUGCGUGCUUGUUUUAAAGAAAUAAUAACCAGUUAACUAUUAUUUACUACUUACUGACUAAAUAUUCUACCCUAGUUUUGUAACCAAGAGAUGUGCAUGUGAAAAUACUAAGAUGUGCUACACCUCAUUAGCAGAGCUGCCAACAGGAGGAAAUAAGCUCAACCUAGAACCUGUUCAGAAGUGGAGAUGCCCAAUAUCAAAACCUUUCCUGCAUGUCGCCUUUUGUGCUAUGAGACACAUUUGUCCAGCCUUGCUAAGAGCUGUUGUCACAGGGGGAUGCAUCCACCCACUGUUCGACGUGGAAAACCCCUAUCGAUACACAGAGAAGUUUGACAUGAGGAUGCGGAGACAUUCUGGGGAGACAACCUAUGGAGAACGAUAAUAUCCAGGAAGAGUCAUCAGAUUAGAAGCAACUUCCAUGGGUCAUAUCUUGUCCAGCUCUCUGCAGAAGGCACUGUCCCUAAACCUGUAUGCACAGAUGCUUAUCUAGCCUCUUCUUGGAGCCUCUAUUGAAGGAGAUUCAACAGCUCUCGGCCCACUGGUUCAGGGGUACAAUAACCUGGGUAUACAGGAUAACUUUAUCAAAGGUACAACUGGAGAAGCUUCCCACCCAUUCAGCCCCACUCUACCAGGAAACAAAACAUUAACCUAUUAAGACCACAGCAAUGCAAUUAAAGAAAAAUUGAAAUACAAAAUGCUAACACAACAGGAAAACCCUCCCAAGCUUCUGCAGAAAUCUUGCAGGCCAUUGCAAACUGUUAUCCUUACUAGAGACUCCGACAGACAGGAAGUUUGACAACCCUUUGACGGUGACGUAUAUUUUGUCAUUUGUAAACGGACCCAAAGAGACACCGGAUUGCACACCCACCCACCCACCUAGUGUGGAACUAAUUGGCGCUUUGUUAUUCUGAGCCCCUCGUUUCCAUUAUUAAUGCAGUUCACAUUGCAAUGUUUGUUCGUGUUUUAAACUCUUCAAGGCAGUCACUUUUUACGAGGUGUGUUUACUAAAAAAAGUGAGUGGGCAGACAGGCAACAUAACUAACAAGCAGCAGAGCAGUAAAGGCAGAGUCAGUGGCAGUUUACUGAUUUGCCCCUGAGCCAUCUCACCAUGCAACACACGGGGCAGGAUGCAGACCGAGGAGCCAUCAGUCAUUGUUAGUUGACUGAGUCGCCAAACAUUGGAUGGACCCUUUCCAGUGAACUCAGUCCACAAAUUCCACUCACAAAGCCACAUGCUGUGCUCUUCUGUCAAGGCAACCCAUGCAGACAUCUGGCAUACAGUAAUUACCAUCACUUUGUGUCUCCCUGCAGCCUGUUAUAAAACAAUUAGGAUGGUUUUCAAAUGUGUCUGCAAUUAAAUUAUUUCUUCCAUUCAA
This is a long non-coding RNA of Alligator mississippiensis (American alligator), 2684 nucleotides long. RefSeq lists it as uncharacterized. The record is from RefSeq and is a predicted model, not a curated record. Lineage: Eukaryota; Metazoa; Chordata; Crocodylia; Alligatoridae. The transcript has 5 exons.